Molecule: unclassified non-coding RNA, 303 nt
Filed under: Hevea brasiliensis (rubber tree)
Lineage: Eukaryota; Viridiplantae; Streptophyta; Magnoliopsida; Malpighiales; Euphorbiaceae
Source: RNAcentral
UAGAGCUUGAAGUUUUUAACUACUACUGAAGAACUUUACAGUAACCAGGAAAAAAAAAGGCAAACUAAAACAACUAAUAUACAAGGCCACCUUAUCGCUAUUGAAGAAAAAAACAAAAGGCCCAGUUAUGGACAUGGCCACUAAGUUUACAGUGUGCCAACUGGAUCCAUUCAACAAACCCAGUAUAGUACACAAAACACGCCUAAGGACUAAGGCUGCUCGUAAAUACCCUUCUAUUUGAUAUACAUGAACACAACUAAGCUCCAAUACGAUUACUAGCUUCAACCAAUUCAUUCAUCUGCG